GACAGAGGGUGCAAACGUUGCUCGGAAUUACUGGGCGUAAAGCGCGUGUAGGCGGACUGGUGUGUCGGAUGUGAAAUCCCCAGGCUCAACCUGGGAACUGCAUUCGAAACUGCCAGCCUUGAGUGGUGGAGAGGGAAGUGGAAUUCCUGGUGUAGAGGUGAAAUUCGUAGAUAUCAGGAGGAACACCAGUGGCGAAGGCGGCUCACUGGCCCGGUACUGACGCUGAGGUGCGAAAGCGUGGGGAGCAAACAGG
Molecule: ribosomal RNA, 253 nt
Filed under: uncultured bacterium
Lineage: Bacteria
Description: partial 16S ribosomal RNA
Rfam family: Bacterial small subunit ribosomal RNA
Source: RNAcentral